Molecule: ribosomal RNA, 452 nt
Filed under: uncultured bacterium
Lineage: Bacteria
Description: bacterial SSU rRNA
Rfam family: Bacterial small subunit ribosomal RNA
Source: RNAcentral
CCGAGAAUAUUCGACAAUGGGCGAAAGCCUGAUCGAGCGACACCGCGUGAUGGAUGAAGUCCCUCUGGGACGUAAACAUCUUUUAUGAGGGAGAAAGUUUAUUGAUAGUACCUCACGAAUAAGGGGUUGCUAAACUCGUGCCAGCAGCAGCGGUAAUACGAGUGCCCCGAGCGUUAUCCGGAAUCAUUGGGCGUAAAGGGUGUGUAGGUGGCAGUGUUAGUCGGUUGUUAAAACCUGGGGCUCAACCCCAGAUCCGCGAUCGAAACGGCACAGCUAGAGGAUGGCAGGGAUGUAUGGAACUCAUGGAGUAGGGGUGAAAUCCGUUGAUAUCAUGGGGAACACCAAAAGCGAAGGCAGUACAUUGGGCCACUCCUGACACUGAAACACGAAAGCGUGGGUAGCGAAUGGGAUUAGAUACCCAUGUAGUCCCUGAGCGGGCUGGCAAGGCGCAU